AUCGCCGAUAUCGUACAUGGUCGCGAUCCUCGUCUUCUGGUGGUGUGUGGUCCUUGUUCCAUUCAUGACGUUGAUGC
Molecule: transfer RNA, 77 nt
Filed under: Campylobacter jejuni
Lineage: Bacteria; Pseudomonadati; Campylobacterota; Epsilonproteobacteria; Campylobacterales; Campylobacteraceae
Also listed under: 1 other name
Description: tRNA-Gln(ctg)
Source: RNAcentral